AACUAACGCUGGCGGCGUGCCUAAUACAUGCAAGUCGAGCGCGAAAGUCCUUCGGGAUGAGUAAAGUGGCGCACGGGUGAGUAACACGUGAGUAAUCUACCCUAAGAUGGGGAAUAACUCCUCGAAAGAGGAGCUAAUACCGCGUAAGACUACGGUCACUACGGUGACAGAAGUAAAAGAUGACCUCUAUUUAUAAGUUAUCGUCAUAGGAUGAGCUUGCGCAUUAUUAGCUAGUUGGUGGGGUAAUGGCCUACCAAGGCUACGAUAAUUAGCUGGUCUGAGAGGAUGAUCAGCCACACUGGAACUGAGAUACGGUCCAGACUCCUACGGGAGGCAGCAGUAGGGAAUAUUGCUCAAUGGGGGAAACCCUGAAGCAGCAACGCCGCGUGAGUAAUGAAGGCUUUCGGGUUGUAAAGCUCUGUUGUACGGGGAAAAUGUUCCUAUGGCUAAUAUCCAUGGGAAGUGAUUGUACCGUAUAAGAAAGGACCGGCUAACUUCGUGCCAGCAGCCGCCGUAA
Molecule: ribosomal RNA, 517 nt
Filed under: uncultured bacterium
Lineage: Bacteria
Description: partial 16S ribosomal RNA
Rfam family: Bacterial small subunit ribosomal RNA
Source: RNAcentral